This 24-nucleotide non-coding RNA is filed under the name Rattus norvegicus (Norway rat). Lineage: Eukaryota; Metazoa; Chordata; Mammalia; Rodentia; Muridae. The record is from RNAcentral.
UCUAGAAGAUGAAGAAACAUGGGC